AGACGAUGACAGCCAGUUCAUUAGCAUGUGCCCUAAAACGAAUAGCAAUAGAUUAAUGCCAUAUCACCUGCUCCAGUGUGUACAUAUAUAGGCUGUACCCGCCUGUGCCCUGUUACGGGUGAGAGGGUGAACUAUCAUCACCGGCAUCGUCCUACUAUGUGUGAAUUCGCUUUAGCUUGCGAGACGACUCUUCACGUGCAUUUUAAACGGUGAAAAUACGAGAGCAAGAGACACGCUGCUACGGAAAUGCAGCCAGGACAGCAACAGCAGCACCGUCCGUGGUACACCAAGAAGCAGCAGCCAAGGCAGAAGAAGUGCAAAACCGGAACAUCCGGAACAGCUUGUGGCAAGGCCAGUCGAUCCCAAGCGAAAUGGUGGUAAUGUAGUUCGAAUAGCAGCAGCAGCACCACCACCACCACCAAUCCCCGCUGGUCGCUGGGUGCGAGUAAUAAUGGUGGAAUAAAAGAAUUUAAUUUUAACUUGUGCUGCUCAUUCCCCAACGGCUUCUAGUCGAGUCGAGGAUGAAGCUGCUAAAGUCGAGGAUGAAGCAGAAACAAAGGCAGAACGAGCCACACCAACGCCACAUAGCAAAGGGAAAGGCUGGAAGCUGACCAGCCGAGCGCGGUUGAGCAGGGAAAUGAAAGAAAAGUGCAAUUUCCAGUUGGGAAACUUAUUUAAACAUCUCGGGAGAUAACUUUUUAUCCUGUUACACUGCCUGGUGCGAACACGGCGGUACACACAGCACAAGUAGGGUGGAUUUCCGGUUUCUUUGCCUUUUGUUUCCUGUGCACAGCGAGCGGGGCAGGUUUAGGGAGUGAGCGGGCGCACCUCGGGAAGGUGGAGACGGGGUUUAGUUAACACGUACGUGCCAUGCCCUACGAUGCUGUUCUGGUGGUUCCGGCUUCCGGUUGUGACGCCCGGCACACUCUGCUGUUUGCUUUGAGUGUCCUCCGACCGUCGAGUGGGGAACAUCGAAUGUGGCAACUGGCGGGCGUCUGUGCCUGCUAACGAUAUCGUUAGCGCUUCAAUUCCCGCUGAGAGAUGGAGCACACGUGCCGGGCGGGCAAGGAGACAUGCUAAAGGUUAGUCGUUUAAUUGAGUAAUGGUGUGAACAGUUAAGCAGUCGCAGCAUAACGAGCUCGGCCACAGACGCGUACACUCCGGCAUGGGUACGGAUGGGCUACGGUGGCCCGGGUACAUUGGGCAAUGAGUGAGAAAUACAAAAAAGAACCACCCGAUGAUAAGCGAAGACGUUGGACCAGGGUGAAAGGUUGUUGAUGUUGAUGGAUGAUAAGAACUAUACGAUAUGAAAAUUACAAAAACUUUCAGUGCUGCUCGUCUUGCCCCCCUCGUCGCCAUAUAUCGUUGAAAUGGGAAGGGCUUGAUGAGUGGUGGCACCAAGAGAAAAAUAUAGCCAUAACAUAAUUGCACAUGGUCAUGAUGGGCACCGAAACUGAUCGCAAGAAUUCACUCCGUGCGCGCGUUUUGUCAAGGAUAUGUGCGCGUGUGCGCGAUAAGCGAGUGGUGGCCAGCAGCAUCCAGAAGAAUGCACGCUCCCGAAACGAAAGUCAGUGUGCGUUAGUGCGGGCUGGGAAGAUUUAUUACCAUCCGUGUGAUGCUCGCAGAGCAAAUCGCGAAGUUCGUAUGACCAAAGUUUUCCCCAAAGAAAGUAGUGUGGUGGAGCGGUAUCUAUCGUGCGUAAACUACGCUAAAACUUGCCUCGCAAUAAAAUGAUAAAUGAGAGCUA
Molecule: long non-coding RNA, 1747 nt
Organism: Anopheles coluzzii
Lineage: Eukaryota; Metazoa; Arthropoda; Insecta; Diptera; Culicidae
Exons: 3
Source: RefSeq, a predicted model, not a curated record